UACGGAGGAUGCAAGCGUUAUCCGAAAUUAUUGGGCGUAAAGCGUUUGUAGGUGGUUUUUUAAGUCUACUGUUAAAUAUCAGAGCUUAACUUUGAAAAAGCAGUAUGAAACUAAUUAACUUGAGUUUGGUAGAGGCAGAGGGAACUCUCGAUGUAGUGGUGAAAUACGUAGAUAUCGGGGGGAACACCAGUAGCGAAAGCGCUCUGCUGGGCCAUAACUGACACUGAGAAACGAAAGCUAGGGGAGCAAAUAGG
Molecule: ribosomal RNA, 254 nt
Filed under: uncultured bacterium
Lineage: Bacteria
Description: partial 16S ribosomal RNA
Rfam family: Bacterial small subunit ribosomal RNA
Source: RNAcentral